UACUGGAAUAUUUCGCAAGAGAUUUUGUUAUCCCCCUGAGUGGAAUGAGCAGAACCAAUUGGACAUUUUAUACAGCAACAGAAAUAUUUGAAAAAUGACUUGAGCAUGUCCACUUCCAGAGAAAGAACUGGGGAACUCACUUACCCUCAGUUCCACCUGGAUGUGCAAUGCCAGCAUUUGCAUAGGGUCCACAGAUCAUAGUGAUGGUGUCCCAGACCAAGGUAGGGUGUUCUACUUGACAGAGAAACUAACUUUUAUUUUUUA
RNAcentral lists this long non-coding RNA (264 nucleotides) under Monodelphis domestica (gray short-tailed opossum). RNAcentral describes it as "lncRNA (ENSMODG00000043740.1)". The record is from RNAcentral. Lineage: Eukaryota; Metazoa; Chordata; Mammalia; Didelphimorphia; Didelphidae.